This 466-nucleotide ribosomal RNA is filed under the name uncultured bacterium. Its description in RNAcentral is "partial 16S ribosomal RNA". It matches the Rfam family "Bacterial small subunit ribosomal RNA", at positions 339 to 795 of the family's 1533-position model. The record is from RNAcentral.
CUACGGGACGCAGCAGUGGGGAAUAUUGGACAAUGGGGGAAACCCUGAUCCAGCAAUGCCGCGUGUGUGAAGAAGGCCUGCGGGUUGUAAAGCACUUUCGGUUGGGAGGACUGCUUCUAGCACUAAUAUUGUUGGAAGUUGACGUUACCUUCAGAAGAAGCACCGGCUAACUCCGUGCCAGCAGCCGCGGAAUACGGAGGGUGGGCAAGCGUUAAUCGGAAUUACUGGGCGUAAAGCGCGCGUAGGCGGCUAGAUCAGUCGGGUGUGAAAGCCCCGGGCUUAACCUGGGAACUGCAUCCGAUACUGUCUAGCUUGAGUACAGGAGAGGAGAGUGGAAUUCCACAUGUAGCGGUGAAAUGCGUAGAUAUGUGGAGGAACACCAAUGGCGAAGGCAGCUCUCUGGCCUGAUACUGACGCUGAGGUGCGAAAGCGUGGGGAGCAAACAGGAUUAGAUACCCCGGUAGUC